Non-coding RNA from Pelobates cultripes (western spadefoot toad), 232 nucleotides. The record is from the annotation of a GenBank genome assembly. Lineage: Eukaryota; Metazoa; Chordata; Amphibia; Anura; Pelobatidae.
UGUGUGUGUGCACGGACUCAGCAGAGUGUGUGUGUGUGCACGGACUCAGCAGAGUCUGUGUGUGUGUACGGACUCAGCAGAGUCUGUGUGUGUGUGCACGGACUCAGCAGAGUCUGUGUGUGUGUGUACGGACUCAGCAGAGUCUGUGUGUGUGUGUACGGACUCAGCAGAGUCUGUGUGUGUGUGUGUACGGACUCAGCAGAGUCUGUGUGUGUGUGUGUAUGGACUCAGC